GCCAGACACAGCCUUCACGUCUGAGAUGUGAAGAGAUGGCUUGAAGAUUCCUCUGUCUAACCCUACAAGUCCUUGGUUCUACCUCAGAACAGAACGGAAAAUGGAGUGAGUGAUCUUGCAGAACUGGCUGUGAUCUGCUAAACUCGAGCUAAGCGGCAGAGGUUUUGGGAACCUGACCUCAGAUCCUCCCACUUGAACAACAAGCACCUUUACCUACCUGCUGGACCAUCUCCUUACCUGCUGGACCAUCUCCUUACCUGCUGGACCAUCUCCUUACCUGCUGGACCAUCUCCUUACCUGCUGGACCAUCUCCUUACCUGCUGGACCAUCUCCUUACCUGCUGGACCAUCUCCUUACCUGCUGGACCAUCUCCUUACCUGCUGGACCAUCUCCUUACCUGCUGGACCAUCUCGUUACCUGCUGGACCAUCUCCUUACCUGCUGGACCAUCUCCUUACCUGCUGGACCAUCUCCUUACCUGCUGGACCAUCUCGUUACCUGCUGGACCAUCUCCUUACCUGCUGGACCAUCUCCCAACUUGGUUCUUUUGCAAGCUGUAUUUGGAUCCACGGACCUAAGACUUUUCUUCAGGAUCACAGGCUCAAGCAAUCUUGCCUGCACAAUCAACCCUAUCACCAAAAUGGAUCCAGUAGGAGCCUAAGAAUAUGUCUUAAGAACACAUUUCAUUAUAUUGUCUUAAUUAACACCCCGUGUCUUCCUUACCUGCCCCCAAUAAUAAAGGCCCCAUUCUCUUCUA
This is a long non-coding RNA of Rattus norvegicus (Norway rat), 756 nucleotides long. RefSeq lists it as uncharacterized. The record is from RefSeq and is a predicted model, not a curated record. Lineage: Eukaryota; Metazoa; Chordata; Mammalia; Rodentia; Muridae.